CCGUGCAAAGGUAGCGUAAUCACUUGUCUUUUAAAUAAAGACUAGUAUGAAUGGCAUCACGAGAACUAAUCUGUCUCCCUCCCCUAAUCAGUGAAACUGAUCUCCCCGUGCAGAAGCGGGGAUAAUAUCAUAAGACGAGAAGACCCUGUGGAGCUUCAAAUCAAAAAUCAACUGCUAUACCUCACCCUCUGAGGACAUACUCCCAUAGACUUGACAUAGAUUUUUAGCUGGGGCGGCUGUGGAGAAAAAAAAAUCCUCCACGAAAUUCUACACCGAGGGCUACUGCCCUAAGUAGUAAUAAAUUAAUUUAAUUGACCCAAUUUUUGAUCAACGAACCAAGUUACCCCAGGGAUAACAGCGCAAUCCACUUUAAGAGUCCAUAUCGACAAGUGGGCU
This 396-nucleotide ribosomal RNA is filed under the name Leptobrachella oshanensis (Oshan metacarpal-tubercled toad). Its description in RNAcentral is "partial 16S ribosomal RNA". It matches the Rfam family "Bacterial large subunit ribosomal RNA", at positions 1946 to 2518 of the family's 2925-position model. Lineage: Eukaryota; Metazoa; Chordata; Amphibia; Anura; Megophryidae. The record is from RNAcentral.